UCCGUAGGCGGGUAAUUAAGUCAGAGGUGAAAUACCACAGCUUAACUGUGGAACUGCCUUAGAUACUGAUGAUCUUGAGUUUUAGUGAAGUAGAUAGAAUGUGUAGUGUAGCGGUGAAAUGCAUAGAUAUUACACAGAAUACCGAUUGCGAAGGCAGUCUACUAACUAACAACUGACGCUAAUGGACGAAAGCGUGGGGAGCAAACAGGAUUAGAUACCCUGGUAGUCC
Molecule: ribosomal RNA, 229 nt
Filed under: uncultured bacterium
Lineage: Bacteria
Description: partial 16S ribosomal RNA
Rfam family: Bacterial small subunit ribosomal RNA
Source: RNAcentral